CUGGGACCCAGGUUGGGCGCUUCGGCGCCCGCCCCCACCCUUUGCUUAGCCUCGAGAUAACACAAACCCGUCGGCCCCAGGCGCGCCCGCUUGACAGCGCGGCGCGCCGGCCGGACAUCAAACCCUGAACAACGUUGCAGCCUGAUGUGAAAAGCAAAUAGUUA
Molecule: unclassified non-coding RNA, 164 nt
Filed under: uncultured Venturiaceae
Lineage: Eukaryota; Fungi; Ascomycota; Dothideomycetes; Venturiales; Venturiaceae
Description: sequence contains ITS1
Source: RNAcentral